This 374-nucleotide ribosomal RNA is filed under the name uncultured eukaryote. RNAcentral describes it as "SSU rRNA". It matches the Rfam family "Eukaryotic small subunit ribosomal RNA", at positions 587 to 972 of the family's 1831-position model. The record is from RNAcentral.
AGCUCCAAUAGCGUAUAUUAAAGUUGUUGCAGUUAAAAAGCUCGUAGUUGAAGUUUGGUCUCGGACGCUGGGUCUGCUUAAUUGCAUGUACUUGACGGUCCGAGACUUCCUUCUUGGUGAACGGCCGCCUUCGGGUGGUCCGGAACCAGGACUAUUACUUUGAAAAAAUUAGAGUGUUCAAAGCAGGCCAUAGGCCCGAAUAUAUUAGCAUGGAAUAACAGAAUAGGACGUGCGGUUCUAUUUUGUUGGUUUCUAGAACUGCCGUAAUGAUUAAAAGGGACAGCCGGGGGCAUUAGUAUUUGCACGCUAGAGGUGAAAUUCUUGGAUUGUGCAAAGACUUCCUACUGCGAAAGCAUUUGCCAAGAAUGUUUUCA